This 368-nucleotide ribosomal RNA is filed under the name uncultured Glomeraceae. RNAcentral's name for it is "partial large subunit ribosomal RNA". Lineage: Eukaryota; Fungi; Glomeromycota; Glomeromycetes; Glomerales; Glomeraceae. The record is from RNAcentral.
CAGUCGUACCGGCGGAUAAUCAGCCUUUCGGGUGCGAUUCUGUGGGGCGUGAGGAGCUUAACCGCCUUCAUGUUUUGCAUAUUCGUGCACAUUUGGUGUACUUGUCCGUGUGGUGGGUUAACAUCAAUUUCGGUCGUCAUAAAAUGAUUAGAGGAAUGUAGCUUUGGUCUCGUAUCGAAGUGUUAUAGACUCUGGUAGAUGUGGUGAUUGGGACUGAGGAUUGCAACGGAUACCCCUUCGGGGCUACCCGUCUGAUCUCUGAAGGUUGCUCCGGUGCCGAAAGCGUGCUUACGGUCAUCGAAAGUGAUUUUCAAAAGGUUAGAACGGGUUAAAUUCGUUAAGGAUGUUGACGUAAUGGCUUUAAACGA